This 385-nucleotide ribosomal RNA is filed under the name uncultured bacterium. RNAcentral's name for it is "bacterial SSU rRNA". It matches the Rfam family "Bacterial small subunit ribosomal RNA", at positions 28 to 416 of the family's 1533-position model. The record is from RNAcentral.
GAUGAACGCUGGCGGCAUGCCUUACACAUGCAAGUCGAACGGCAGCACGGGAGCAAUCCUGGUGGCGAGUGGCGAACGGGUGAGUAAUAUAUCGGAACGUGCCCAGUCGUGGGGAUAACGUAGCGAAAGCUACGCUAAUACCGCAUACGAUCUAUGGAUGAAAGCGGGGGAUCGCAAGACCUCGCGCGAUUGGAGCGGCCGAUAUCAGAUUAGGUAGUUGGUGAGGUAAAGGCUCACCAAGCCGACGAUCUGUAGCUGGUCUGAGAGGACGACCAGCCACACUGGGACUGAGACACGGCCCAGACUCCUACGGGAGGCAGCAGUGGGGAAUUUUGGACAAUGGGCGCAAGCCUGAUCCAGCAAUGCCGCGUGCAGGAUGAAGGCU